AAACCGUUCAGGGGUAAACCUGAGAAACCCAAAAGAUCGAAUGGGGAGAUUCAUCGUCAGCUUUAUCGGCUUGCGUGCUGCUCGCGAUGCUCGCUUGUGGGAGCGUGUAACAGCGUUUUCAUUUUAGCGGGCACGCGGUAGCUGCGUAAUUUUGUCCGGUCAGAGUCGGCGUGCACUUCUCCCCUAGUAGGACGUCGCGACCCGUUGGAUGUCGGCCUAAGGCCCGCGAGGUCGACUGCCGGUAUCGGUGCGCAAGCAUUCGAUUUAUCGGCAGACCCGCGGUCGCCCGGCCGACUGUUCGGCGGUAAAAAAUUGUUUGAAAAAUUCAAUGGUAUCGAGCCGCAUGAUAUUUUGAAUGCGUUCUUUUGGCUCGUCGGCAGGCGAGCCUCGCCUCGGAUUUUACGGACCUGGUGCCGUUGUCGAGCGAGUUUUUGCUCGUCGUUUCGCCGACGAUGUCCUCGGACGGGCUCUAUAAAGUUCUCUCUUUCGAGGGAGAGCUUUUGUUACCAGUCAGCGACGCUACUGCUUUGGGUACUUUCAGGACCCGUCUUGAAACACGGACCAAGGAGUCUAACAUGUGCGCGAGUCAUUGGGACUUGUUUAUAAUAAGCCUAAAGGCGCAAUGAAAGUGAAGGUCCGCUCUGAUGCGCGACCGAGGGAGGAUGGCUUCGGGAGAAGUCAAAUUUGACCGGAGCUCGCACUCCCGGGGCGUCUCGUGCUCAUUGCGAGCUGAGGCGCACCCAGAGCGUACACGUUGGGACCCGAAAGAUGGUGAACUAUGCCUGGUCAGGACG
RNAcentral lists this ribosomal RNA (794 nucleotides) under Megaphragma sp. RNAcentral's name for it is "partial large subunit ribosomal RNA". It matches the Rfam family "Eukaryotic large subunit ribosomal RNA", at positions 402 to 848 of the family's 3401-position model. Lineage: Eukaryota; Metazoa; Arthropoda; Insecta; Hymenoptera; Trichogrammatidae. The record is from RNAcentral.